AUGAUCAGGGCAACAACGGGCGCGUUGAUGGGGGUGAUGACCCCCGUUCUUGGAAAGCUCACAGCUCUACUCAAGGAGUAUGACAGGCUCAAAGGCCUCCAUCCUCGGAUCACUUCUCUGAGAGAUGAGCUGCGCAGCAUAAAGGCUGCCUUGGAGGAUCUCUCACAGCUGGAGGAGCCCAGCUUGCAAGUGAAGGAGUGGAUGAAUCAACUGCGGGAGCUGUCCUACGACAUUCAGGACUGCAUCGACGACUUCGUGCAUGGCCCUGUCCAGGACGGUGCCCAUGAUGGCCUUACAAGUAAGAUUGCUGGCUGGCUCAGGACGAUCCAACAUUACCACCAAAUAGGUGGCAACGUUGAUAAGCUCAAGGAGCGUGCGGUAGAGGUUAAUGAUCGGCCCAAGAGGCUCAAGCUGGAUGUUGUGCCCUCCUCUUCUAGUGCCAUGGCAAUUGAUCCUAGGUUGUCGGCCCUCUUUGAGGAGGCUGACAGGAUCAUAGGAUUUGAUGGUCCAAGAGAUGAGCUCGUCAAUGUGCUCGUUGGUGAAACUGAUUUAGUACAGGAACGCCGUGUCAUUUCUAUCGUUGGCGCCGGAGGCAUUGGCAAGACAACCCUUGCCAAUCAGGUAUACAAGGAAGUCAAAAGUCAAUUCCAGUUUGCAGUUUUUGCAUCUGUGUCCAGGACUCCUGAUGUCAAAAAGAUCCUAUCUGGUGUGUUGUUGGAAAUUCUUGAUGGAAGCAACGCAAUGUCGGUUGAUGACAGUCAACGCAUCAAGGAAGACCUCAGUUCGUUAAAAGUGGAAUACAAUCAACUUGUUCAAAAAAUUAGAGAAAAUCUCCACAAUAAAAGGUAUUUUGUCCUGAUUGAUGACAUAUGGAGUAAACAAGCAUGGAAAGACAUCCAAUGUGCUUUUCCCUAUAAUAAUAAUGCAAGUUGGAUAAUGACGACUACACGUAUUCAGGAGGUUGCUGAAUCUUGUAGCUUUCCGCAAGUAUACUACGUUUAUCCUAUGAAGCAUCUUGACAAUGAUGCGUCAAAAAGAUUAUUCUUGAAAAGGAUCUUUGCCCAUGAAGAUGAUUGCCCAUUUGAAUUGAAAGACGUUACCUAUGACAUACUAAAGAAAUGUGACGGCUUGCCACUUGCUAUAGUUAACAUGGCGAGCCUACUUGCAACAAAACCAACCACAAAGCUGGAGUGGGUGAGGGUGCGUAAUUCUCUUUAUUCAGCACUGGAACAAGACAAUGAGUUGGCAGUAGUAAGAAGGAUAUUGCUUCUGAGUUAUUAUGACCUACCUUGCUAUUUGAAGAUGUGUCUAUUGGACCUAAGCGCAUUCCCUGAGGACCAUGAGAUUGAUUGUGAGCGUCUAGUAUGGAGAUGGGCCGCUGAAGGAUUAGUUGUUGCCCAACAAGGGCAAAACGUUGAAGAAAUAGCAGAAGGAUAUUUUAAUGAGCUCAUCAACAGGAACAUGAUCCAAUCGGAGGAAAUUAACACCGAUGGAAGAGUGACGAGCUGUCGUGUGCAUGAUAUCAUGCUAGAUCUCCUUAUAUCCCUGUCGAGUGAAGAAAACUUUGUUGCUAUAUUAAAUAGCCAAAAGUGUACAACUUCGACAUACAAGAUUCGACGCCUCUCCCUCCAAGGCAAUUGUGAAGAGCAUCAUAUGUGGCUGGACACUGGUAACUUUUCUCAUGUCAGGUCAGUCAGUGUGUUCGGUGAUUGUAAGCGGCUGCCCCCGCUCAUUGGCCUCCAAACUUUACGGGUACUAGAUGCAGUGGACUGUAAUCAAUUAGAGGAGGAUAAUGUGUAUAUUGAGGAUAUUGGAAGUCUACGUCAAUUAAGGUAUUUAAGUCUUGGGCCCUUGUUCAGCAGGCUUCCAAGAGAAAUCAAGAAUCUACGGUUACUACAGACACUAGACCUGACUAGAGCAGAUAUAAGAGAAUUGCCCGCAUCCAUUAUAGAACUGCACCAAUUGGUGCGCCUGUUUGUGAAUGUUUGCGUGAAAUUCCCAAGUGGGUUUAGCAAUCUGAGAGCUCUUCAGGAGUUGAAGUGGUUUGGUUGUGACAAUAAUUCCUUAGACGUUGUGCUGGAGCUCGGACAACUAUCUAAACUGAAGAAGCUGCACAUAUGUUGGGGUAUUUUUGAUGAUACAAAUGGUGAUGAGGAUAGAUACAAGAAAUGUUUUCUGUCGUCACUAUGCAAGCUAGGGGAAGGCAAUCUUCAAACUCUACAUAUUGAUGGUUUACUGCGUAAUGUAGAUUCCUUGAUUGACUCAUGGUGCCCUCCUCCACGUCAUCUCCAAGAUUUUGAGAUUGGGUCAAUUUCCCAUACGAUUCCCAGUUGGAUCUCCUCUCUGUCCGCCCUCAUGUUUCUAUGCAUCACGGUGGAACAACUGGAACAAGAAGAUAUGCAGGUGCUCAAAGACUUGCCAGCCCUUGUAAGCCUCACCCUGGAAGCAAGCAAUUCAAAAGAAGUACUCACCAUCAACCGUGGUGGAUUUCAGUGUCUAAAGCAGUUUUCUUUUGUCCUCCGGUUUUGGGCUAGUGAUGUAGGUUCGGCACCCAUUGUAGACAAAACGCGUGGGCCGAAUCUGUUGUUUGGAGAAGGAGCAACACCAAAGCUAGAGAAGCUUAGUAUUCACUGUCGGGCACGUGAUAUGGUAUCUGCAGAAGGUGUUGCUUCUAAUUUUGGCAUCUCGCACCUUGCCUCCCUCAAGCAACUCCGUGUUAGCAUUGCUUGUAGCGGUGCGAGGUUAUGGGAGGUGGAGGCCACGUUGGAUGCCAUCCACAAUGCUUGCACUCUUACUCCCAAUCCUAACCUCCAACUUGAGACACUUGUAUUUUGGAGUGAAUAUAUGGCAAAGGAUGAGGAGCAUAAGCAUGACACCUAUAUUGCCAAAGAGGACCAUGUAGUGCAACUACAAGCAGCUAGUUCCACGAGUCCGGUACCUGAUAGAAGAGUACCAUUCACAACAGUUAAAACUUGA
This 2976-nucleotide ribosomal RNA is filed under the name Triticum aestivum (bread wheat). RNAcentral's name for it is "partial small subunit ribosomal RNA". The record is from RNAcentral. Lineage: Eukaryota; Viridiplantae; Streptophyta; Magnoliopsida; Poales; Poaceae.